AAUGGGGUGCCUGAUAAAAGGGCUAUCUUGAUAGGAUCGAUUAUGUAGAAUUAUCUACCCCCAUUA
RNAcentral lists this transfer RNA (66 nucleotides) under Claassenia sp. 2 YNX-2023a. Its description in RNAcentral is "tRNA-Ile". Lineage: Eukaryota; Metazoa; Arthropoda; Insecta; Plecoptera; Perlidae. The record is from RNAcentral.